UUUCCCAUUCACGCUUUCACACUCACACAUCUUGCUCUUGCUCUUCCCCUUGCCUUAUCCCCUAUCCCACUCCAAAAUUGCUGCCGCCGGUAGCUCCCAUCAGCUUGAUUCCCUGAUUCAGUGCCUUGAGCUUGCUCGUCCUCACCUACAGCCAGCCCCGCAGCUUGAUUCAUUUGUGCGGCCAUAGCGUGACCUUCGACGGCGGCUGGUUUGUCUCUUGAUCUCCUCGUACGCCUCCUCGGUCUCCUCCUAGGCUGGUAAACGUCGAUGGAGUGGUAGGAGGGCCCAAGGUGCAGCUGCUCAAGGGAGGAGGCGAGAUCAUCAAUCUGCACGAUGUUGUUGCUGUCAAUGUCCGUGCAGGUGAUGUUGGCGUGGAUUUCGUCUCCCACAACUGCUUUGAUCCAUCUUUAGUAUCAGGAUGGUGGAGAUGUUUUCUGCCCCUAGAGCGCCAGCCAGACGCAUCCUCCACAUCGGCAACAUUCUUCGAAGUUUGAAGGUCCGUUUUUUUCCUUUUCCUGGCUGUCAUAUUUACUUUUCAUAACCCCUUCCUUUGUUUGUGUGAUUGAACUAAUAUAACGUAAUUAAGGAAAUGCCUCUUAGUGAAAAAUGUAGAAAUCUUGGAAAAACAUGUGAUUAUUUUUUAAGGUCUCUAUAAGUGUUAAUUAGAUAGAUUUCAAUUAGUGAGUGAAAUUAAAAAGAAAUUUAAGUAUAUGUCUGCACACACAUGAUAACUCAAUCAACGACGCUUUUGUCAUCGGCAUUCAUGUAAGCGAUGCGCUUGCUUCUAUCUUGCUUACUGUGAGGUCCGUAGGGGUGUUGUCAUCCCCAAGUUCCAAGUCGGACACGACAUCACAGUCCCAAAGUGAGGCAGCCCAAAAAUUUUGUCUUCGUCAUCGACAAAGGCAGCGCGGCUUGGUCAUCGAAUAUUUUCACCCGCAUGUCUUCAGAUGACUAAUACCUACCAAAAUAAAGUUUUAAACCAUAGGAUAAACUAACCUGACAUAUGUACCCCAGUCUACAUGAUGUAUAGCUUAUUGUGGAAACAUGCACUAAAUAUGCUUUGAUUAAUGUCAUGUGCCUAUUAAGGUGAGAAGCAUGCACGGUCCGGAAUCUAAAAAUAAACAUGGAUUGGUACCCAUCAAUAGACUUCUUAUAGAAUAGAAUUGACCACAACCAUAUGGAUGUACAUGGAAAGCAACAUAGCACCAUCUCUCUUUGAAAUAGCAGUAUUUAUUGGAAAUUUACAUUUGGUGCACUCUAAUGAGCCAAUAAAAGUUGUGUAAAUCUGUAUAUAGCACACUUUUCAAACUCUAAUGCAAGGUGGUAACAAGCAUUUAAUAUUUAACAUUUAUGGGAAUGUUAGGAACGAAAAAUGGAAGAUAAUAUUGUGCAAGUCUAGACUAUGCAUCCCUCCAAAUAAAGGAAAGAUCCUGGGCACAACUUCUAAAUGCAUAGGUGUAUGUUCCAGUUUUUAUGAGUUGCAAAACCGCAAAUACUAAAAAAAAAAUAUUUCAACUGUAACUGAAUUUUCUUUGUCACUGAAUUUCUUUUAUGAUCUGAAUCUCUAGUUGAGAAAAGUUCACUGAAGUUACGAAAAGCAUUGCAUUAUGUCAGCCAUUUCAUAUUGAAAUGCCAAAAGAAGUGUUUUAUAGCCACGUACAUGUACCUAUCGUUUAGUUAAGGUGGAUCAUAGAUCUUUGGGGUUUGAUCACCAUGGACGUUACAAUUGGCAUGAGCUUAAACAUAUAUGCUCACCUCCAGGAACAAAGUCAGGGGUGUGUGUGUGUAUUCUAGUGUAUAGUUACAGGAAAAAUAACUUGGGCAUACCUUUUAGAAAGGAGUGGACAAAGUGCUUCGAGUGCCCAGAGUUGGCAUCUAAACAGGAAAAAAUGGAUGGAUAAUUUUAUAUCUAGUAAAUAAAAGAACUAUGCCCAAUCUCCAAGAUAAAUCAUCUUUCACAACCAAGCUUUAGCCAAUGCAAAUAGAGCAUCAUUAACAUGGACCGAUCCAAUAAAUAGAUAAUUGAUAUUUUAAUAAAUAUACUUAAGGAGGGCAGCCUAGUUUUUACAUUAAUGUAAUUAUCUCUAAAGGCAGAAAUUGAUAUUUCCAUAUUAAAUGGAUUAUGAUUUAGAAGGUAGAUCCAGGUAAAUAUGCGACCACAUAACACCUUGUGAAAAGAUCAUCAUUUUGAAGAUUUACCAACAUAAAGCCAUCAUUGUAUUGCAUCAUACACAGGGUGAAAUUAAUAGAAUAGUUACCUUGUCUGAUCCAGAACAUAUGUAAAGUAGCCAACCCUUGCACACCCUUCCUUAUAAAUAAUCUCGAGAAUAAAAAUUGCUAUUGAAACCGUGCUGGUAUAAAUCAAGUGUAGCCCUGUGUUUUGGCGCCAACAAUGUUCAUUGUGUUACAGUGCAUGGAUUGAAAAGGCCUGAAAGUGUUUUCUAGUUCUACAGUAUUAGCAAUUGAUUCUUGAUUGAUGUUAUGUGUUCCUACAGAAAAUUCUCUGUUAGAAUCGAAGCAUUGAUACUAACAAUUUGACGAACACUUGCAGUGUGUUGCCUAACUGGGAACUAUUGGAUGUGGGGAGAGAAGAAACUUUACCUUGUUGUUGACCGAAAACAGUAGUAAAGCUCCAACCUCUAGGUAAAUAUCAUCCUUGACGAAGAGGUCGAAUUCUGGCCACUUAUAGGGUCUGUGUAUGGUGUGUAUCUCAAGUUCCAACUCUCACCUGAUUGGUCUUCUAAUCUCGCUCUAGCUGGCUGACAGGAGAAUUCAUAUGUUAAUAACAAUGCUCCAAGAGCAAUCCAACCAUCCAAGGCAUAUGGUUUUGGAGAUCAGCUGUUUGCAAAUACGGAAGGAAAAAUACCUUAUAACAGCUAGCUGUGGGGUGAAAGCAGAUGUGGUUUUGGAGAUCAGCAGUUUGCAAAUAUGGAAGGGAAAAUACCUUAUAGCAGCUAGCGGUGGGGUGAAAGUAGAUUGCAAUUUGAUUGCAAUAUUUUUUAUUCAGUUAUGUUUGCACGUGGCUGUACCACAUCAAAACUGAUUGAACCUUCCUAAUCUCGUCGCAAUUCUUUUGCCCUAUUUGCCAUACAUGCCUAUCUCUUGUGUAUUCAUUGAUUAAUUUUUGUUGAGCGUCCUGGCUACCAAUCUAUCCUGCUUAGUAGUUGAUCCUAUUAAUAAGGGACAAAAUAGAAGUAACAAUGCAGGGAAGAACAAUAGCAUACCUAGUCAUCAAGGCCGGAUUCCUGUAUGCACACUGGGCGGCAGAGAGCGAACGGCAUGGGUGGGGAGGGGAAUGAUAUGUUUGAGGUUGAGGAUGCAUGGUCAGCCCGAGGGGAGGCUCGAUCAAUCUCGGCAGUUACCCCAUCGUCCGGCGUGGCUUCCAUGGGGGCAUGGAGGCGAUGAUUUUUAUCUUUAGGAAACGAUUAAUUUCUGUUCUUUUUAUAGGGAAUAUAGAUAUUCUUCUGUUAGGAUAGCGAUGAGAUUUGGAUGUGAGUUUGUUUUUUUAGUGAAAAGAUAUGGGAAGUGAGAUAUGUACGUGAUGGAUGUGAGGUUGUUUUUUUAAGUAAAAAGAUAUGGACCUGAUAUUGUUUUUUUGUUGUUGAAAAAGGUGAAUUGUUAAUCAGUUUUUUUAGUGAAUUGGUAGGAUAUGUAAUGGCAAAGGUGGGUAAUUAAUUUUCCUUUGGUUAGAUCGGACGAUUGUAAUUUUUUGUCUACUAAAAUAAAUGGCCAGCUGUUU
RNAcentral lists this long non-coding RNA (3739 nucleotides) under Triticum aestivum (bread wheat). RNAcentral describes it as "long non-coding RNA (TAES_LNC007207)". The record is from RNAcentral. Lineage: Eukaryota; Viridiplantae; Streptophyta; Magnoliopsida; Poales; Poaceae.